AGGCAAAACACAGGUGUGACUUUCACACAGAGAGUCAUAAAGUGUGUUUAUAAAAGGAUGCAAAUAUUUCUGGGGAAAAAAAACAUUUAGAAAAAAGAAAACACCUUGAAACCAGUCACUUGGGAGUAAAACAAUACAGAUGUUUUCAACCAAGAAUGAAAAGAAAAAGAUACUACAGUUUGUAAAAAUGAGAUCACUGGGUCAUUAUGUACUUCUGGUAUUUCAAUCUUCUAUCCAGGCCAGCCUCCUAAAUAAAUAAAAGGAUAGGCUAAUAUUUGCUAUGGGGCCAUUUUGACUGUUAAACCUAUCAAGGAUGCUCUGCGGUUUUUCAGGGAUUAUUUGCUGAGCUGAAGGAAGAAAGGCUGAUCCUUACAAUCCUUCAGUAAACAAAUAUUAGAGUGCUGUUUGAACCAGCAGCGGCGCAGGGACAAAGUUUUAGCUAUGCUCAACCGAUCACACCCAAAGGGAUAUAUUUUGGGACUUGACACCACCCCAGCCAAUCCACGAGUACUGAGCUCUGCAUAAUCUGUAGAUCUGGUCUCUGGUCAACAACAAGGUGUAAUCGUCCAGGCUCCAAGGGACAGCCUGGAUUUCAAACUGAAUACGAUCUACGACCACGGCACGGACUUAUUCUGGAGCAAGAAUCAAAUGGUGUGCCAGAGAGAAACCAUCACUGUUGGCAAACGAAGGAAAAGGAAAAACUUAGAGAAGCAGCUCAUGCUACAACAAGAGCAAAAGGAGGGCAUUAGAGUUUGGAUCGACCCGAAGAGGAACACCUACCACUACCUGACAUGACGGGAAAAUAUUGUCAGGCGCUCUGCUUUCUCAACAAUUAGAACUUCAGCUUUGGAGGAGGCUUCAAGAACUACCAACUACUGCUGCUGCUAACCAGGACGUCCUGACAAUAAAACAGUCCUGUCAGUGUUUUUUGUUUUGCCGGUGCGUGAACAAACCAAAAACAGAACAAUAUAGUGUAAUGUAGUAUCAUUUUCAUACUCGAUACACCAAAUGUUUUUCUUUUGGCUUGGUGAAUACUAAACAUUCACCAAGUAGAAAAAGAAGAGAGUUGAAGCUGCUUUUAAUUUGGCAGUGCAGUAAAGAACAAAUUCAGUGGUUUCUUUUUGGACAAACUUUGAUCAGUCUAUAUCUAUAAAACUAAAAAAAUCUGGGCCGGUUUAUCCUCAGAAAAUAGAGACGCUUUAAAUACUUAUGACUUAAAAAGAACUUGUAGAUUAAUACCUGAAUUUCAUAAUAUGUCUAAGAAAAAAAUGGGGAUUACAAUGCAAAACUGAACGUAGUUCAAGGACGUCAAGUUUUGUUUCAAAAAGGAAAAUUAACUAGUCAAAAAAUGUUUAACUACCAUUUGUAUUCAGUUGUGUUCAAUGAAGUAGCUAGAAAAUCUCACCAAAAAUGGAGAUCAUCCAAAUGUAAAUCAGUGUCAUCCCCCUUUAGCUUUCCAGAAAUUCUGAUUUUUCUUUUAUUCUCUUUUAUCCUCAAUUUAAAUUUUUCAGUGCUUCCAGUCUUUCCAAGACAGCAUAUAAAAAGUGGUUUUGGACAUUUCUGUCUACUUUAUAUAAAAGAGUAACACACCAACUCACAAAACAAUUUAUUUAGACAUAUCACACCGUAUUACAUUUUUUGCUUCAAAACAUGCUGAACAGAAAGUGGAAAUGUGCAAAUAGUAAAUAGUGACUUUAAAUCUCUGUCUAGUUAACCAUGAAAAUAAAAUGUAAAGUCAAAGAUGUAAGUGGGGUAUUGAUAU
Xiphophorus hellerii (green swordtail) is the source of this 1762-nucleotide RNA transcript. It is a transcript of the gene named cilia and flagella associated protein 276, with no coding region annotated. NCBI's taxonomy places the organism in Eukaryota, Metazoa, Chordata, Actinopteri, Cyprinodontiformes, Poeciliidae. The record is from RefSeq and is a predicted model, not a curated record. The transcript is spliced from 4 exons.